AAGUUUUUAGUAUAUGAGUACAUUUACCUUCCAAGUAAAAAGAUUAUUAAAUUAUAAAAAACUUA
Molecule: transfer RNA, 65 nt
Filed under: Eisenia nordenskioldi pallida
Lineage: Eukaryota; Metazoa; Annelida; Clitellata; Crassiclitellata; Lumbricidae
Description: tRNA-Gly
Source: RNAcentral